UACGUAGGGUGCAAGCGUUGUCCGGAAUCAUUGGGCGUAAAGCGCGCGUAGGUGGCUUCGUAAGUCCGUUGUGAAAGUCAAAGGCUCAACCUUUGAAUGCCGAUGGAUACUGCGAAGCUAGAGUACGGAAGAGGCGAGUGGAAUUCCCGGUGUAGCGGUGAAAUGCGCAGAUAUCGGGAGGAACACCAAUGGCGAAGGCAGCUCGCUGGGACGUUACUGACGCUGAGACGCGAAAGCGUGGGGAGCAAACAGG
Molecule: ribosomal RNA, 253 nt
Filed under: uncultured bacterium
Lineage: Bacteria
Description: partial 16S ribosomal RNA
Rfam family: Bacterial small subunit ribosomal RNA
Source: RNAcentral